Molecule: ribosomal RNA, 497 nt
Filed under: uncultured bacterium
Lineage: Bacteria
Description: partial 16S ribosomal RNA
Rfam family: Bacterial small subunit ribosomal RNA
Source: RNAcentral
GAUGAACGCUGGCGGCGUGCCUAAUACAUGCCAGUCGAGCGAACGGACGAGAAGCUUGCUUCUCUGAUGUUAGCGGCGGACGGGUGAGUAACACGUGGAUAACCUACCUAUAAGACUGGGAUAACUUCGGGAAACCGGAGCUAAUACCGGAUAAUAUUUUGAACCGCAUGGUUCAAAAGUGAAAGACGGUCUUGCUGUCACUUAUAGAUGGAUCCGCGCUGCAUUAGCUAGUUGGUAAGGUAACGGCUUACCAAGGCAACGAUGCAUAGCCGACCUGAGAGGGUGAUCAGCCAAACUGGAACGGAGACACGGUCCAGACUCCUACGGGAAGCAGCAGUAGGGAAUCUUCCGCAAUGGGCGAAAGCCUGACGGAGCAACGCCGCGUGAGUGAUGAAGGUCUUCGGAUCGUAAAACUCUGUUAUUAGGGAAGAACAUAUGUGUAAGUAACUGUGCACAUCUUGACGGUACCUAAUCAGAAAGCCACGGCUAACUACGUG